Molecule: ribosomal RNA, 857 nt
Filed under: uncultured bacterium
Lineage: Bacteria
Description: bacterial SSU rRNA
Rfam family: Bacterial small subunit ribosomal RNA
Source: RNAcentral
UACGGAGGGUGCAAGCGUUACUCGGAAUCACUGGGCGUAAGGCGCGCGCAGGCGGGCUGGUAAGUUGGAUGUGAAAUGCUAGGGCUCAACCGUAGAACUGCAUCCAAAACUGCCAGUCUAGAGUCUGGGAGAGGUAAGUGGAAUUAGUUGUGUAGGGGUAAAAUCCGUAGAGAUAACUAGGAAUACCAAAAGCGAAGGCAACUUACUGGAACAGUACUGACGCUGAGGCGCGAAAGCGUGGGGAGCAAACAGGAUUAGAUACCCUGGUAGUCCACGCCCUAAACGAUGAGUGUUAGUCGUCGGAGAGCUCGUCUCUUCGGUGAUGCAGCUAACGCAUUAAACACUCCGCCUGGGGAGUACGGUCGCAAGAUUAAAACUCAAAGGAAUAGACGGGGACCCGCACAAGUGGUGGAGCAUGUGGUUUAAUUCGAAGAUACGCGAAGAACCUUACCUGGCCUUGACAUUGAUGGAAUCUGCUAGAGAUAGCGGAGUGCCCUUCGGGGAGCCUGAAAACAGGUGCUGCACGGCUGUCGUCAGCUCGUGUCGUGAGAUGUUGGGUUAAGUCCCGCAACGAGCGCAACCCUCGUGGCUAGUUACUAACGGUUCGGCCGAGGACUCUAGUCAGACUGCCUCCGCAAGGAGGAGGAAGGUGAGGACGACGUCAAGUCAUCAUGGCCCUUACGGCCAGGGCAACACACGUGCUACAAUGGGAUGUACAAUGAGACGCGAUACCGCGAGGUGGAGCAAAUCUAUAAAGCAUCUCUCAGUUCGGAUAGCAGUCUGCAACUCGACUGCUUGAAGCUGGAAUCACUAGUAAUCGUAGAUCAGCUAUGCUACGGUGAAUACGUUCCCGGGUC